This is a non-coding RNA of Callithrix jacchus (white-tufted-ear marmoset), 85 nucleotides long. Lineage: Eukaryota; Metazoa; Chordata; Mammalia; Primates; Cebidae. The record is from Rfam.
UCUCAUGCUGUGACCCUCCAAAGGGAGGUGCUUUCUGUUGUCCAAAAGAAAGAACGCCUUCCCUUUAGAGCGUUACCGUUUGAGA